GAUGAACGCUGGCGGCGUGCUUAACACAUGCAAGUCGAACGAUGAAGCCCAGCUUGCUGGGUGGAUUAGUGGCGAACGGGUGAGUAACACGUGAGUAACCUGCCCUUAACUCUGGGAUAAGCCUGGGAAACUGGGUCUAAUACCGGAUAGGAGCGUCCACCGCAUGGUGGGUGUUGGAAAGAUUUAUCGGUUUUGGAUGGACUCGCGGCCUAUCAGCUUGUUGGUGAGGUAAUGGCUCACCAAGGCGACGACGGGUAGCCGGCCUGAGAGGGUGACCGGCCACACUGGGACUGAGACACGGCCCAGACUCCUACGGGAGGCAGCAGUGGGGAAUAUUGCACAAUGGGCGCAAGCCUGAUGCAGCGACGCCGCGUGAGGGAUGACGGCCCUCGGGUGGUAAACCUCUUUCAGUAGGGAAGAAGCGAAAGUGACGGUACCGGCAGAAGAAGCACCGGCUAACUACGU
RNAcentral lists this ribosomal RNA (465 nucleotides) under uncultured bacterium. Its description in RNAcentral is "partial 16S ribosomal RNA". It matches the Rfam family "Bacterial small subunit ribosomal RNA", at positions 28 to 506 of the family's 1533-position model. The record is from RNAcentral.